This 484-nucleotide ribosomal RNA is filed under the name uncultured bacterium. Its description in RNAcentral is "partial 16S ribosomal RNA". It matches the Rfam family "Bacterial small subunit ribosomal RNA", at positions 28 to 507 of the family's 1533-position model. The record is from RNAcentral.
GUUGAACGCUGGCGGCAUGCCUAACACAUGCAAGUCGAGCGGAUGAAGGGAGCUUGCUCCUGUAUUCAGCUGCGGACGGGUGAGUAAUUCCUAGGAAUCUGCCUGGUAUUGGGGGAUAACGUCCGUAAACGGGCGCUAAUACCGCAUACGUCCUGAUGUAGAAAGUGGGGGAUCUUCGGACCUCACGCUAUCAGAUGAGCCUAGGUCGGAUUAGCUAGUUGGUAGGGUAAAGGCCUACCAAGGCGACGAUCCGUAACUGGUCUGAGAGGAUGAUCAGUCACACUGGAACUGAGACACGGUCCAGACUCCUACGGGAGGCAGCAGUGGGGAAUAUUGGACAAAGGGCGAAAGCCUGAUGCAGCCAUGCCGCGUGUGUGAAGAAGGUCUUCGGAUUGUAAAGCACUUUAAGUUGGGAGGAAGGGAAGUAAGUUAAUACCUUGCUGUUUUGACGUUACCAACAGAAUAAGCAACGGCUAACUUCGUG